Molecule: transfer RNA, 73 nt
Filed under: Dokdonia pacifica
Lineage: Bacteria; Pseudomonadati; Bacteroidota; Flavobacteriia; Flavobacteriales; Flavobacteriaceae
Also listed under: 1 other name
Rfam family: tRNA
About the family: Transfer RNA (tRNA) molecules are approximately 80 nucleotides in length. Their secondary structure includes four short double-helical elements and three loops (D, anti-codon, and T loops). Further hydrogen bonds mediate the characteristic L-shaped molecular structure. tRNAs have two regions of fundamental functional importance: the anti-codon, which is responsible for specific mRNA codon recognition, and the 3' end, to which the tRNAs corresponding amino acid is attached (by aminoacyl-tRNA synthetases). tRNAs cope with the degeneracy of the genetic code in two manners: having more than one tRNA (with a specific anti-codon) for a particular amino acid; and 'wobble' base-pairing, i.e. permitting non-standard base-pairing at the 3rd anti-codon position.
Source: Rfam by way of RNAcentral
GAUACUGUAGCUUAACUGGUAGAGCUGGGAGCUGUUAACUCUCAAAGUAUAGGUUCAAAUCCUAUCAGUAUCG